ACUGAACGCUGGCGGCAGGCAUAACACAUGCAAGUCGAGCGGGGGAGGGUAGCUUGCUACCGGACCUAGCGGCGGACGGGUGCGUAAUGCUUAGGAAUCUGCCUAUUAGUGGGGGACAACAUUUCGAAAGGGAUGCUAAUACCGCAUACGUCCUACGGGAGAAAGCAUGGGAUCUUCGGACCUUGCGCUAAUAGAUGAGCCUAAGUCGGAUUAGCUAGUUGGGGGGGUAAAGGCCUACCAAGGCGACGAUCUGUAGCGGGUCUGAGGGGAGGGUCCGCCACACAGGGACUGAGACACGGCCCAGACUCCGACGGGAGGGAGCAGUAGGGAAUAUUGGACAAUGGGGGGAACCCUGAUCCAGCCAUGCCGCGUGUGUGAAGAAGGCCUUAUGGUUGUAAAGCACUUUAAGCGAGGAGGAGGCUACUCUAGUUAAUACCUAGGGAUAGUGGACGUUACUCGCAGAAUAAGCACCGGCUAACUCUGUGCCAGCAGCCGCGGUAA
RNAcentral lists this ribosomal RNA (501 nucleotides) under uncultured bacterium. RNAcentral's name for it is "partial 16S ribosomal RNA". It matches the Rfam family "Bacterial small subunit ribosomal RNA", at positions 30 to 523 of the family's 1533-position model. The record is from RNAcentral.